RNAcentral lists this ribosomal RNA (460 nucleotides) under uncultured bacterium. RNAcentral's name for it is "partial 16S ribosomal RNA". It matches the Rfam family "Bacterial small subunit ribosomal RNA", at positions 338 to 795 of the family's 1533-position model. The record is from RNAcentral.
CCUACGGGUGGCAGCAGUGAGGAAUAUUGGUCAAUGGACGCAAGUCUGAACCAGCCAUGCCGCGUGCAGGAUGACGGCUCUAUGAGGUGUAAACUGCUUUUGUACGAGGGUAAACCCCGAUACGUGUAUCGGGUUGAAAGAAUCGUACGAAUAAGGAUCGGCUAACUCCGUGCCAGCAGCCGCGGUAAUACGGAGGAUCCGAGCGUUAGCCGGAUUUAUUGGGUUUAAAGGGUGCGUAGGCGGUUUGAUAAGUUGGAGGUGAAAGGUCGGGGCUCAACCCCGAAACUACCUCUAAUACUGUUGGAGUAGAUAGUAGUUGCGGUAGGCGGAAUGUAUGGUGUAGCGGUGAAAUGCUUAGAGAUCAUACAGAACACCGAUUGCGAAGGCAGCUUACCAAACUAUAUCUGACGUUGAGGCACGAAAGCGUGGGUAGCAAACAGGAUUAGAUACCCUUGUAGUC